This 1558-nucleotide long non-coding RNA is filed under the name Delphinapterus leucas (beluga whale). Its description in RNAcentral is "lncRNA (ENSDLEG00000011875.1)". The record is from RNAcentral. Lineage: Eukaryota; Metazoa; Chordata; Mammalia; Artiodactyla; Monodontidae.
UUCAUUAAUCAAGGUCGUUUUAACACUUGCAUGUCCUCCAAGCAGCUCCUAGCCUAAACAAGAUGUUUGCCUAAGUUAUUUUCCAGGACCUUGGAGUCUCAGCUGUGUAUAGUUCAAGUUGAGCUAGUUAAGGGUAGCACCAUCGACCCUCCAGCUGGGCAGGUGCUAGUGUCUGCUGGGUGACCUUUUGAACGUAGAGAGGCCUGUAGCUUAGCUACACCUGUGCAGGACCACGAUUAUCGCGCACCCUUUCCCAAUCACCUUUCCCCACUCCCCCCACGCCUCAGCCUUCCCUGCUUCUUUAUUGGUCAUCCCAUAAAUAACCCAGCCCCUUGUUUUCUGCGAGGUGGAUUUGAGGUUUGUUCUCCGGUUUCUUCUCUUGGCUGCCUUGGGAGUAAAACCUCUGCUUCGAGCCUUGGUGACUCAGCGUUUUGGCUUGCUGUGCCUCUUGAAAAAUGAACCUGGCUCAGUAACAAAUUUGGUGGGUCAACCAGGAGGGACCAUGUUUAGGGAAAAGGAACAAUGGAGAAUGAAACAACAGGCCACUCUGCUGGCGGCUGCCUUAACACAGAGAAGAGCUGGACCCCCACAAAGGACUCAGCAAAAGGUAGGGGGCCUCAGGCCCUAAACUUCCCCUGGAAUGGUACCCGAUAGUGGGUGUCACUCUGGCUUUCUUUCAGUUCUUCACAUGUGUAAAACUCAUUUUUGCCCCAGGACGUUUGUACACGCUGCUCUCUUGGCUACUUUCUGUCUAUUCAUCUCCAACUCAUUGUAAUGUGUAUGUCACUUUAAAGAAGACAUAACGCUUGCCCUAUCUAAAUUAGGUCUCCCUUCAAAGCACUAAAUGUUUUGUGGUCCUCCUUUUCUUCCACUUGACCCAAAAUUCCAUAAGGGUGAGAAGUAGGUCAAUUUUGUUGCAGAUUCCCAGUUCUUGGCAUGACUCUUGACACAUAAUAGAUGCUCACUAAAUACCUGUUGAAUGAUUGUAUCACUCAAUCCUGGGAUAUUUGGACCAAGAACUAGGAUGCAAGCAAGAGAUUUGAUGUUCAUUCCAAAAUUCCCAUGAUAGUAGAAGGGAUGACAGUAAAUAACAGACAAGUUCUAGUACACAUCUUGAGUUCAGCAGGGCAAGAAUAGUGUAACAGACUUAAGGCAACCUCCUUACAACGAACUAGGGCAAUCUGGUAUUUGUGUGUGCCUCCAAGACACUUAAACACCCUCGAAGUUCUGGUAGUUGCAUAUAAUAGGGAAGUCAAGGCAAUUUAUUGGAAACAAAAAUGCUAUUCCUGUCUCUUCUGCUCUUUAAAUCAUACCAAUAAUGUCUGCUCCUCCUCCUGUAUAUGGGAUUAUGCCUGCUUGCAUUUCUGAUUCACUGGAGCUACAUACAGUCCUUCUGUCUAUUAUAGUCUAAUUAGAGAGAGCUCUAGAAUUUACCAAGAGAGGCACCCACAUCUUCAUAACUGCUAAGUGCAGUUUCCUCACCCUUAUUUCUGUAUCUAAAUACACUUAUCUUUCAUUUACCUUCAGGCCCCAUGCAAAAUUCUCUUUAUUUCCAAGU